GGCGGACGGGUGAGGAACACGUGGGUCAUCUACCGACAGGUGAGGAAUACCGGCGAGAAAUCGCCGACAAUACCGCAUAGGUUUGGGAACAAGCAAAGUCUCGGCAACGAGAUGCCUGUUGAUGAGCCUGCGUCCGAUUAGCUAGUUGGUGGGGUAAUGGCCCACCAAGGCGACGAUCAGUAGCUGGUCUGAGAGGAUGAUCAGCCUCACUGGGACUGAGACACGGCCCAGACUCCUACGGGAGGCAGCAGUGGGGAAUAUUGGACAAUGGGCGCAAGCCUGAUCCAGCCAUGCCGCGUGGGUGAUGAAGGCCCUAGGGUUGUAAAGCCCUUUCGGCGGGGAAGAUAAUGACGGUACCCGCAGAAGAAGCCCCGGCUAACUUCGUG
RNAcentral lists this ribosomal RNA (386 nucleotides) under uncultured bacterium. RNAcentral's name for it is "bacterial SSU rRNA". It matches the Rfam family "Bacterial small subunit ribosomal RNA", at positions 97 to 507 of the family's 1533-position model. The record is from RNAcentral.